GGCUUAACACAUGCAAGUCGAGCGAAGACUUCGGUCUUAGCGGCGGACGGGUGAGUAACGCGUGGGAACGUGCCCUUCUCUAAGGAAUAGCCACUGGAAACGGUGAGUAAUACCUUAUACGCCCUUCGGGGGAAAGAUUUAUCGGAGAAGGAUCGGCCCGCGUUAGAUUAGGUAGUUGGUGGGGUAACGGCCUACCAAGCCUACGAUCUAUAGCUGGUUUGAGAGGAUGAUCAGCCACACUGGGACUGAGACACGGCCCAGACUCCUACGGGAGGCAGCAGUGGGGAAUCUUAGACAAUGGGGGAAACCCUGAUCUAGCCAUGCCGCGUGAGUGACGAAGGCCCUAGGGUCGUAAAGCUCUUUCGCUGGGGAAGAUAAUGACUGUACCCAGUAAAGAAACCCCGGCUAACUCCGUGCCAGCAGCCGCGGUAAUACGGAGGGGGUUAGCGUUGUUCGGAAUUACUGGGCGUAAAGCGCGCGUAGGCGGACUAUUAAGUCAGAGGUGAAAUCCCGGGGCUCAACCCCGGAACUGCCUUUGAUACUGGUAGUCUUGAGUUCGAGAGAGGUGAGUGGAAUUGCGAGUGUAGAGGUGAAAUUCGUAGAUAUUCGCAGGAACACCAGUGGCGAAGGCGGCUCACUGGCUCGAUACUGACGCUGAGGUGCGAAAGUGUGGGGAGCAAACAGGAUUAGAUACCCUGGUAGUCCACACCGUAAACGAUGAAUGCCAGUCGUCGGGUAGCAUGCUAUUCGGUGACACACCUAACGGAUAAGCAUCCGC
This 778-nucleotide ribosomal RNA is filed under the name Rhodobacteraceae bacterium ACEMC 2-10. Its description in RNAcentral is "bacterial SSU rRNA". It matches the Rfam family "Bacterial small subunit ribosomal RNA", at positions 45 to 872 of the family's 1533-position model. The record is from RNAcentral. Lineage: Bacteria; Pseudomonadati; Pseudomonadota; Alphaproteobacteria; Rhodobacterales; Paracoccaceae.